CAAUGUCACGUACUUUUAAAAGAGAAGUGUGGAUAUAUGAUAAAAUGGAUAAAGAUAAAUUUUUGAAAAAAAUGAAUGAAACAGAUUGGUAUGCACUUCUUCCCGAUGACAAGGAUGUUAAUGAAUUAUGUGAAAUAUUUACUGUAACUUUUCUGAACAUUGCAAGGGAGUGCAUACCUACUAAACAAGUAACUAUACGAAAAAACGACAAACCAUGGUUCAAUAGCGAGCUUAGGAGAGAAAUACGGACUAGAGAUCGAUUACGAAAAAAGGCUUUUAAAUCUAAAAAACAAUCUGAUAUUUUGAAGUACAAGCGACAGAGAAAUAGGGUCAAUAAUAUGAAAAAAGUUGCUA
Molecule: long non-coding RNA, 354 nt
Filed under: Mytilus galloprovincialis (Mediterranean mussel)
Lineage: Eukaryota; Metazoa; Mollusca; Bivalvia; Mytilida; Mytilidae
Source: RNAcentral